Molecule: ribosomal RNA, 490 nt
Filed under: uncultured eukaryote
Lineage: Eukaryota
Description: bacterial SSU rRNA
Rfam family: Bacterial small subunit ribosomal RNA
Source: RNAcentral
UCGAGGGUAGUCUGACGGAGCAUACCGCGUGAGGGAAGACGGCCUAUGGGUUGUAAACCUCUUUUUUCAGGGAGGAAUCAAUGACGUGUACCUGAAGAAUAAGCAUCGGCUAACUCCGUGCCAGCAGCCGCGGUAAGACGGAGGAUGCAAGUGUUAUCCGGAAUCACUGGGCGUAAAGCGUCUGUAGGUGGUUGAACAAGUCAACUGUUAAAUCUUGAGGCUUAACUUCAAAAUCGCAGUCGAAACUGUUUGACUAGAGUAUAGUAGGGGUAAAGGGAAUUUCCAGUGGAGUGGUGAAAUGCGUAGAUAUUGGAAAGAACACCGAUGGCGAAGGCACUUUACUGGGCUAUUACUGACACUCAGAGACGAAAGCUAGGGUAGCAAAUGGGAUUAGAUACCCCCAGUAGUCAAGAUUAUAUACCCCCCGUAGUGGCAGUCACCGGAGUAAACCAGCCGGCAAAAACAACAGCGGGAACAGACCGGAUCAAAA